AGAGUUUGAUCAUGGCUCAGGAUGAACGCUGGCGGUCUGCUUAACACAUGCAAGUCGAACGCAUCCUUCGGGAUGAGUGGCAGACGGGUGAGUAACACGUGGGAACGUACCCUUUGGUUCGGAACAACUCUGGGAAACUGGAGCUAAUACCGGAUACGCCCUUUUGGGGAAAGGUUUACUGCCGAAGGAUCGGCCCGCGUCUGAUUAGCUAGUUGGUGGGGUAACGGCCUACCAAGGCGACGAUCAGUAGCUGGUCUGAGAGGAUGAUCAGCCACAUUGGGACUGAGACACGGCCCAAACUCCUACGGGAGGCAGCAGUGGGGAAUAUUGGACAAUGGGCGCAAGCCUGAUCCAGCCAUGCCGCGUGAGUGAUGAAGGCCUUAGGGUUGUAAAGCUCUUUUGUCCGGGACGAUAAUGACGGUACCGGAAGAAUAAGCCCCGGCUAACUUCGUGCCAGCAGCCGCGGUAAUACGAAGGGGGCUAGCGUUGCUCGGAAUCACUGGGCGUAAAGGGCGCGUAGGCGGCCAUUCAAGUCGGGGGUGAAAGCCUGUGGCUCAACCACAGAAUUGCCUUCGAUACUGUUUGGCUUGAGACCGGAAGAGGUCAGUGGAACUGCGAGUGUAGAGGUGAAAUUCGUAGAUAUUCGCAAGAACACCAGUGGCGAAGGCGGCUGACUGGUCCGGUUCUGACGCUGAGGCGCGAAAGCGUGGGGAGCAAACAGGAUUAGAUACCCCCGUAGUCC
RNAcentral lists this ribosomal RNA (742 nucleotides) under uncultured bacterium. Its description in RNAcentral is "bacterial SSU rRNA". It matches the Rfam family "Bacterial small subunit ribosomal RNA", at positions 8 to 796 of the family's 1533-position model. The record is from RNAcentral.